UCGCAAUGGGCGAAAGCCUGACGGAGCAACGCCGCGUGUGGGAGGAAGGUUUUAGGACUGUAAACCACUUUUCUCAGGGAAGAAGACCUGACGGUACCUGAGGAAUAAGCAUCGGCUAAUUCCGUGCCAGCAGCCGCGGUAAUACGGGAGAUGCAAGCGUUAUCCGGAAUUAUUGGGCGUAAAGCGUUCGUAGGCGGUUCAACAAGUCUGUUGUCAAAGGUCGCAGCUUAACUGCGGAAAGGCAAUGGAAACUGUGGAGCUAGAGUGUGGUAGGGGUAAGGGGAAUUCCCAGUGUAGCGGUGAAAUGCGUAGAUAUUGGGAAGAACACCAGCGGCGAAAGCGCU
This 344-nucleotide ribosomal RNA is filed under the name uncultured cyanobacterium. RNAcentral's name for it is "bacterial SSU rRNA". It matches the Rfam family "Bacterial small subunit ribosomal RNA", at positions 366 to 725 of the family's 1533-position model. The record is from RNAcentral. Lineage: Bacteria; Bacillati; Cyanobacteriota.